Molecule: long non-coding RNA, 993 nt
Filed under: Monodelphis domestica (gray short-tailed opossum)
Lineage: Eukaryota; Metazoa; Chordata; Mammalia; Didelphimorphia; Didelphidae
Description: lncRNA (ENSMODG00000038055.1)
Source: RNAcentral
GGAAGAUAGCCUAACGCUUCACAACAAGGCUAGAAAUGUUUCCUAGCAGUCUGGGACUUAAAAAGAAUAUAGCCUACAAAUAAAAGGUGUGUACUUUCCCCCCAGAUCAUCUAAAAUACCUCUGCAGUGCCAGGCUGACAUUUGGGGGCUCCCCAGCUCACGCUACUGCUAUUUAUCUUGUGUAUAUCACCGUGGCAUUUAAGUGCCUUAUCACAGUACAUGGUGAAGGAGCUUGACUUUCUGAGCUGUGUUUCUCUAUCACUCGUUCAAGAGUGAGGACUGUUCCUAUAGUUUGGAGAAAUGCUCAUAACCAAUAAGUGGGGGAGUGAGAGAACCAGGGUGCCCUGUUUCUUAGGGCUGCCUUCUUUCUGCCUUCUCACUGAGGAGUCAAUCCAUACCAUUCCUUAGCUUACUCCUCUUCCCACUGCCAUUCUUUUCUCUCUUCUCCCUCUCCUCUCUCUUUCCCUUAUCAAUUCAAUACAGUAAAUGUUUUGCAAGUACCUAUUAUGUGUUCAGUGCUGGGGAUACAAAGAUUAAAAUAACAGACAGCUCCUGUCACCCUUUACUAAGUGUGAAGCAGCAAAUAAAUGGAGAAGCAUUACUAGGAUAGGGCACUGAAUUACCAAAUAGGGGGGAGUCAAGACCCCAGUUUAGAAAGGAAUGCUACUGAGCACCAUCAAUGCCAUCAAAAGAAAGAUGAGGAGUGCCAUCUACUGUAUACAACUGACUCCACUUCAUACUGUGAACUAUACUUGCUUUUCUAUCCCUAGAGAAAGGAGAUCCACAAGCUACACUACUCAAUUCAUAUUAUCAAUCAUAGGAAGCCUUCAUUUAUAUGUGGUGGUGUGAUUGUAAAGAGUAACACCAUAAGGAUUGGAUCUCCAAAGGAACCUUAAUCAUAGAAUAACCUCAUCCAGAGGAGAGAGCCUUUGUGUCACAGGACUGUGAUGUCAAACAAAUAAAAACAGGACCCCUACUUGGUUGAAGUGCUUG